RNAcentral lists this non-coding RNA (112 nucleotides) under Allobosea sp. WAO. Its description in RNAcentral is "Bosea sp. WAO TPP riboswitch aptamer (THI element)". It matches the Rfam family "TPP riboswitch aptamer (THI element)". Rfam says of the family: Vitamin B(1) in its active form thiamin pyrophosphate (TPP) is an essential coenzyme that is synthesised by coupling of pyrimidine and thiazole moieties in bacteria. The record is from Rfam by way of RNAcentral. Lineage: Bacteria; Pseudomonadati; Pseudomonadota; Alphaproteobacteria; Hyphomicrobiales; Alloboseaceae. RNAcentral also lists the same sequence under 1 other name.
CGGGCCUCAACGGGGUGCCCGGCAACCGGGCUGAGAGGGGCGCAUAACGGCGCCACGACCCGUAGAACCUGAUCCGGGUCGUGCCGGCGGAGGGAUUGAGCAUCGACGCCCG